CUAAUGCAGUAGGUGUCUAGUAGGGUCCAGUGGCACAACCUCCCCUAUCACCUAAGCUGGGUACUUGAGUUGUAUCCUUUGUGGGGGCUGAGUACACCCUCCUCUUGUAGUUGACCCUUGGUUGCUAUUGGCAAAUAAAUGAGUAAUUUAC
Long non-coding RNA from Phyllostomus discolor (pale spear-nosed bat), 151 nucleotides. RefSeq lists it as uncharacterized. The transcript is spliced from 3 exons. Lineage: Eukaryota; Metazoa; Chordata; Mammalia; Chiroptera; Phyllostomidae. The record is from RefSeq and is a predicted model, not a curated record.